RNAcentral lists this long non-coding RNA (316 nucleotides) under Olea europaea (common olive). RNAcentral's name for it is "long non-coding RNA (OEUR_LNC003368)". The record is from RNAcentral. Lineage: Eukaryota; Viridiplantae; Streptophyta; Magnoliopsida; Lamiales; Oleaceae.
GAAAAGUUUGUAAAAAGGAACCUCCCAUCAAGAGUGGUCUAGUCUCCAUUAAACUCUUCAUUUGCCCAAAGAAAAUGAAAUAUCUAAAUGAAGAGCUAAAGGACUGUUUGGCAGUGAUAUAUGCUCCGAUAAAACAGGACACAUACUGAAUUCUCUCUCUCUCUCUCACACACACACACACACACACACACGGACUCUUUCUCUCCCUCUCUCUCUCUCUAAAAUCUUGAAUCCUGAUGGUGGCUUUGGCCUUUGGGCUUAUGGUAGAAGAAAGGAAGCCUUGCAUGGAAGCAAAGAAAUGACACGCGGACUAGUC